AUGGUUGGACCUGAUCUCAAAGUGUUGCAAUGCGGGGCCUCCGGGCCGGGCGGGGCGCUGUGGCGCUCGGCCAGUAGGGGGCGCGCGGGAGCGGAGGCCCCACGGGGCGGCCGUGCGCGCGUGCGGCCGCGCGGCUCUGGGCUUCCGCGCGCGCGACGAGCGGAGCGUGGACCCUGCGCCGGCUUCGGCGACCCUCCGGCCCGGAAUUGGGCUCCCCCAGGCGGCCACCUCGGCCGCGGGGCCGCGGAGACUGGGCGCCGGGGCGGAGGCAGGGGACCGGCGAGCGCAGGAGGGUCCCGCCUCGCCGUAUGCAGUGCGCGGGACUGCGCCUCCGCUUUCUGGGGAGACGGGGCGGUGUCAGGACUUGGACUAUGUUCCUGAUUUGUUCAGACUGCCAUGGCUCCAUAUAUAAAGGACAUUCACCAAAAAGGUAAUCUGAAAAGUGUUUGUCAUUAAAUCAUCUUAAGUUCCUAUAUUCAUUGCCAUGUCAAAUUUUAAGAAUGAGAGAUGUUUUUUAAGAACACAGAAUUUUUUCCAGUUCGAAGAUGGUGAAAUAGAAGGACUUGCGAUCAUCUCCUUCUGCAAGAUCACCAAAAUCACAACUAUUGAACAACCAGGGACAGGAAGAUGCUGAAAAUGUUCAUUAGUCAUGUCUGACUCUUUGUAACCCCCAUGGACUGUAGCCCACCAGGCUCCUCUGUCCCUAGAAGUUUCCAGGCAAGAAUACUGGAGUGGGUUGCUAUUUCCUUCUCCAGGGGAUCUUCCUGACCCACGGAUUGAAACCAGAUCUCCCACAUUGCAAGCAGACUCUUUACCAACUGAGCCACCAGGGAAGACCCUGGAGGAUGCUGGUACCUACCAGAAAAAGAUACCCCAUGUCCAAAGAUAAAGAAAAAGCCACUGUGAGAAUGGAGGAGGGGCACAAUCACAAUAAAAUCAAAUCCCAUUCUCUUCAAACUAGAGAACAAUAAUACCAAAGAAGUUCUCCCACUUCUGAAGGUUCUGAAGGUGUGAAAGUUCUGAACCACAUGUCAUACUUCCCAAUCUGGGUAUCUGACAAAGGGACUGGAAAUCCCCAGGGAAUCUUAUCUUGAAGACCAGUGGGAUUUGAUUACAAGACUUCCACAAGACUUCCAGUCUUGGAGGGCACAAACAAAACCUUGCUCACACCAAGACUCAGGGGAAAGGAGCAAUGACCCCACAGAAGAAUGAGUCAAAGCUAUCUGCUAGUGUUGGAGGGUCUCCUGUGAUGUGGAUCAGCAGGGUUUCACUGCAGGGAUGGGGGCACUGGCAACAGUAGUCUAUGAAGGUCACCUUGGUGUAAAUCUUCUUGGAGGUUGCCAUUAACCCAAACAUAGAACCCACAGACCUAUGAAGGCUGGGUCACCUCAGGCUAAAAAUCCCCACCCAUCAUCAGAUAUUUGGAUUGAAGUUUUACUGAGCAAGGCCCUGCCCACCAGAGAAAGACCCAGCUUUUCCCACCACCAGUCCCUCCCAUCAGGAAGCUUACACAAGCCUCUUAGCCUCCUCCAUCAGAGAGCAAGCACAAGAAGAAAGAACCACAGCCAUACAGUGACUAAAACAAAAACCACAUUACAGAAAGUUAAUCAGCAUGAAAAGGCAGAAAGUUAUGUCCCAGAUAAAGGGACAAAAUAAAACUCCAGAAAAACAACUAAAUGAAGUGGAGAUAGGCAAAAUUCCAGAAAAAGAAUUCAGAAUAAUGAUAGUGAAGUUGACUCAGCAUCUUGGAAAAAGAAUGGAGGCAAAGAUUGAGAAGAUGCAAGAAAUGUUUACCAAAGACCUAGAAGACCUAAGGAACAAACCAACAGAGAUGAAUAAUAUACUAGUGAAGCGAAAGUCGCUCAGGCGUGUCUGAUUCUUUGAGACCCCGUGGACUUACAUGGAAUUCUCCAGGCCAGAAUACUGGAGUGGGUAGCCGUUCCCUUCUCCAGGGGAUCACCUCAACCCAGGGAUUGAACCUAGGUCUCCCACAUUGCAGGCAGAUUCUUUACCAGCUGAGCCACAAGGGAAGCCUGAAUAACACACUAGAAGGAAUCAAUAGCAAAAUAACUGAGGCAGAAGAAUGGAUAAAUGACCUGAAAGACAGAAUGGUGGAAAUCACUGCUGCAGAACAGAAUAUAGAAAAAAGAAUGAAAAGAAAUGAAGACAACCUAAGAGACCUCCGGGACAACAUUAAAUAUACCAACAUUCACAUAAUAGGAGUGCCAGAAGGAGAAGAGAGUGAUAAGGCACCUGAGAAAAUAUUUGAAGAGAUAAUAGCUGAAAACUUCCCUAACAUGGGAAAGGAAAUAGUCAACCAAGUCUAGGAAGCACAGAGAGUCCCGGGCAGGAUAAACCCAGUGAGGAACACACUGAGACAUAUAGUAAUCAAACUGACAAAAAUUAAAGGCAGGUAAAAUGUUAAAAGGAACAAGGGAAAAAUAACUAAUAACAUACAAGGGAACUCCCGUCAGGCAAUCAGCUGAUUUCUCAACAGAAACUCUACAAGCCAGAAGGGAAUGGCUUCUGUAAUAUGUUUAAAGUGAUGAAAGGGAAGAACUUACGAGCAAGAAUACUCUACCCAGCAAGACUCUCCUUCAGAUUUGAUGGAGAAAUCAAAAGCUUUCCAGGAAAGCAAAAGUUAAGAUAAUUCAAGGUCACCAAACCAGCUGGACAACAAAUGCUAAAGGAACUUCUCUAGGCAGGAAAUAAAAGAAGGGAUAUACCUAUCUACAGAAAAUAAACCCCAAAAAUUGAAAAAACAGUAAUAGGAUCAUACAUAUAAAUGUAAAUGGAUUAAAUGCAGCAACUAAAAGACUUGCACUUCCACUUACCGCAUCACUGUGCUUGACCCUGUAAAUUGUAUGUAAUUAUUUUAUAUUGUUAGGUUAAUCAUUAAUCAUGUUUCCAUUAUGGUUUGCAACUGUAAUUAUCUUCCCCACCCCCCCCCCCAGCUAUUGAUUGUGAAAACUGAUAAACAUCUUUCACUAUUGUGGAAAAAACAGAACACAGCAUUUUUAUUACUAAUAUUUUAAUUUACUUCUUGACUGCACUUGGUCUUUUUUUUAAUUAACUAAUUCAUUUUAAUUGGAGGAUAAUUUCUUUACAGUAUUGUGGAGGUUAUUGCCCUACAUUGACAUGAAUCACCCACAGGUGUGAUUGUCCUCCAAUCCUGAACACCACUCCAACACCACUCCCACCUCCCUGCCCAUUCCAUCCCCCUGGGUUGUCCCAGAGCACUAGCUUUGAGUGCCCGCUUCAUGCAUCAAACUUGCACUGGUCAUCUAUUUUACAUAUGGUAAUAUUGGAACAACAGACUGGUUCCAAAUAGGAAAAGGAAUACGUCAAGGCUGUAUAUUGUCACCCUGUUUAUUUAACUUAUAUGCAGAGUACAUCAUGAGAAAUGCUGGACUGGAAGAAGCACAAGCUGGAAUCAAGAUUGCCGGA
Molecule: long non-coding RNA, 3447 nt
Organism: Bos grunniens (domestic yak)
Lineage: Eukaryota; Metazoa; Chordata; Mammalia; Artiodactyla; Bovidae
Source: Ensembl